CAAAAUGUAACUUAAUAAAAGUCCCAUGCCUACACCAUGAGUAUAUCUAUGUAAUCUAGAUCAUUUUGAG
Molecule: transfer RNA, 70 nt
Filed under: Alcalus mariae (Palawan eastern frog)
Lineage: Eukaryota; Metazoa; Chordata; Amphibia; Anura; Ceratobatrachidae
Description: tRNA-Val
Source: RNAcentral